RNAcentral lists this ribosomal RNA (460 nucleotides) under uncultured bacterium. RNAcentral's name for it is "partial 16S ribosomal RNA". It matches the Rfam family "Bacterial small subunit ribosomal RNA", at positions 338 to 795 of the family's 1533-position model. The record is from RNAcentral.
CCUACGGGAGUCAGCAGUGAGGAAUAUUGGUCAAUGGGCGAGAGCCUGAACCAGCCAAGUCGCGUGAAGGAUGAAGGAUCUAUGGUUUGUAAACUUCUUUUAUAUGGGAAUAAAGUGAGGAACGUGUUCCUUUUUGUAUGUACCAUAUGAAUAAGCAUCGGCUAACUCCGUGCCAGCAGCCGCGGUAAUACGGAGGUUGCGAGCGUUAUCCGGAUUUAUUGGGUUUAAAGGGAGCGUAGGUGGUAAAUUAAGUCAGCGGUGAAAGUUUGUGGCUCAACCAUAAGAUUGCCGUUGAAACUGGUUGUCUUGAGUAUAUUUGAGGUAGGCGGAAUGCGUGGUGUAGCGGUGAAAUGCAUAGAUAUCACGCAGAACUCCGAUUGCGAAGGCAGCUUACUAAGCUAUAACUGACACUGAAGCACGAAAGCGUGGGGAUCAAACAGGAUUAGAUACCCCUGUAGUC